This 253-nucleotide ribosomal RNA is filed under the name uncultured bacterium. RNAcentral's name for it is "partial 16S ribosomal RNA". It matches the Rfam family "Bacterial small subunit ribosomal RNA", at positions 524 to 776 of the family's 1533-position model. The record is from RNAcentral.
UACGAACUGCGCGAACGUUAUUCGGAAUCACUGGGCUUACAGGGUGCGUAGGCGGCGGAGAAAGUAGGGUGUGAAAUGCCUUGGCUCAACCAAGGCACAGCGCUCUAAACUACUUCGCUGGAGUGAGUCAGGGGUGCGCGGAACUUCCGGUGGAGCGGUGAAAUGCGUAGAUAUCGGAAGGAACGCCGGUGGCGAAAGCGGUCGACUGGACCUCUUCUGACGCUGAGGCGCGAAAGCCAGGGGAGCAAACGGG